Molecule: transfer RNA, 76 nt
Filed under: compost metagenome
Description: tRNA-Glu
Rfam family: tRNA
About the family: Transfer RNA (tRNA) molecules are approximately 80 nucleotides in length. Their secondary structure includes four short double-helical elements and three loops (D, anti-codon, and T loops).
Source: RNAcentral
ACUCUUGUCGUCUAGCGGUCUAGGACAAUGGCCUUUCACGUCAUGAACGGGGGUUCGAGUCCCCUCAAGAGUACCA